UUUUCUGAGACUUGAUUUGAACUUGGGCCCUCCCGACUUCUAAACCAGUGCUCUACCUACUAUACCGCCUAACUGAGGGUGAGGAGGAAAGACUGGAAAGGAUGAUGGAGAGACAAGGUCUUUGAGCUGAAGGUGUGUGUGGGAAACAAUGCUGCUGACAGACAGAUAUCAUGCCCCCACCCCAUUGAAGUUCCUCCUGGCGGGAGCCCAGUUUUCUCUUUACUUCGUGGAGGAGCUUGGUGCCUUGAAACCCGCUACCACGACCGUCAAACUUCACCACGAUGGCGCUG
Non-coding RNA from Phascolarctos cinereus (koala), 290 nucleotides. Lineage: Eukaryota; Metazoa; Chordata; Mammalia; Diprotodontia; Phascolarctidae. The record is from RefSeq and is a predicted model, not a curated record.